AUUGAACGCUGGCGGCAGGCCUAACACAUGCAAGUCGAACGAGUGGCGGACGGGUGAGAAAUGUCUGGGAAACUGCCUGAUGGAGGGGGAUAACUACUGGAAACGGUAGCUAAUACCGCAUACCAUCAGAUGUGCCCAGAGGGGAUUAGGUUGUUGGUGGGGUCACGGCUCACCAGGGCGACGAUCCCCAGCUGGUCUGAGAGGAUGACCAGCCACACUGGAACUGAGCCACGGUCCGAGCUCCUACGGGAGGAAGCUGGUGGGAUUAUUGCAGAAUUGGCGCAAGCCUGAUGCAGCCAUCCCGCGUGUAUGAAGAAGGCCUUCGAGUUUUAAAGUACUUUCAGCGGGGAGACGUUACCCGCAGAGGAAGCACCGGCUAACUCCGUGCCAGCAGCCGCGGUAAUUG
RNAcentral lists this ribosomal RNA (406 nucleotides) under uncultured bacterium. RNAcentral describes it as "partial 16S ribosomal RNA". It matches the Rfam family "Bacterial small subunit ribosomal RNA", at positions 30 to 527 of the family's 1533-position model. The record is from RNAcentral.